This 22-nucleotide microRNA is filed under the name Brachionus plicatilis. Its description in RNAcentral is "Bpl-Mir-12598-P1b_5p (mature (guide))". The record is from RNAcentral. RNAcentral also lists the same sequence under 1 other name. Lineage: Eukaryota; Metazoa; Rotifera; Eurotatoria; Ploima; Brachionidae.
AACUGUUUAUAAAUAGCCUCGC